RNAcentral lists this long non-coding RNA (398 nucleotides) under Homo sapiens (human). RNAcentral describes it as "HSALNT0176056". Lineage: Eukaryota; Metazoa; Chordata; Mammalia; Primates; Hominidae. The record is from RNAcentral.
CAUCGAUGUCGGCCUUGGGCAGGCUCACAUCCACAUCUGGACCUUCUCCUUUGAAGCCAGGCAUGCUGAAUUUGGGCAUUUUCACCUUGGGCAUCUUCAGGUGCCAGUCUGGGCCAUGAACAUCCACAUCAGGGGUGUUGAUGUCCACUUUUGGGCCCUUGAUGUCAGCUUCUGGGCCCUUGAGGUCACCUUCCACUUUAGGAAGGGUAACAUCCACAUCGCCCUUCACUUUGGGUCCUUUCAGGUUUAAGUCAAUAUCAGGCAUGGAGAUCUUGGGGGCAUUUUCACCUUGGGCAUCUUCAGGUGCCAAUCUGGGCCAUGAACAUCCACAUCUGGAGCACUAAUGUCAACUUUGGGCCCUUUAAUGUCAACAUCUGGCACUUUCAUUUCACCUUCUA